This 403-nucleotide ribosomal RNA is filed under the name uncultured bacterium. RNAcentral describes it as "partial 16S ribosomal RNA". It matches the Rfam family "Bacterial small subunit ribosomal RNA", at positions 30 to 526 of the family's 1533-position model. The record is from RNAcentral.
AUUGAACGCUGGCGGCAGGCCUAACACAUGCAAGUCGAGCGAGCGGCGGACGUGUGAGUAAUGUAUGGGGCCUGCCCGAUAGAGGGGGUUAACUACUGGAAACGGUGGCUAAUACCGCAUACUAUAGGCUAACCCAGAUGGGAUUAGCUAGUAGGUUGGGUAAAGGCUCACCUCGGCGACGAUCUGUAGCUGGUCUGAGAGGAUGAUCAGGCAUACGGGAACGGAUACACGGGCCCGACUCCUACGGAGGCAGCAGCGGGGAAUAUUGCACAAUGGGAGCAAGCCUGAUGCAGCCAUGCCGCGUGUAUGAAGAAGGCCUUAGGCUUGUAAAGUACUUUCAGCGGGGAGGCGUUACCCACAGAAGAAGCACCGGCUAACUCCGUGCCAGCAGCCGCGGUAAUAC